RNAcentral lists this long non-coding RNA (608 nucleotides) under Equus caballus (horse). RNAcentral describes it as "lncRNA (ENSECAG00000055057.1)". The record is from RNAcentral. Lineage: Eukaryota; Metazoa; Chordata; Mammalia; Perissodactyla; Equidae.
UGGUGACUGAGCUCUCCCAUCUAAACACACCGUCCUUCCCAGGAGGAGCUGAUGAACAAAAGCUGCAAGUAGAUUAUUGCAGGAAAACAAAAGUUCCUUCCUUUUCUUUCCUUGCUUUUCCUCAAACUUCAAUUUACUCUGAGGGAGGAAUGGGAGUAAGCUGAAGUGGAAACAUCUCUUGAACUUCAAUCAUAUUCUACUCCGAUUUUUAAGUACUUUUUAAAAUUUGAGCUUCUGUCUCUAAAUUAUAAUUCCAGUCAUUAUAAUUUCAUGAUGGGUUUCUAAGAGUAACAGUGGCUGCUUAGGAAGACAAGUCUGACUGGUGGCUGAGGAGGGACUUCUGAGGAAAGAUGUCAGGAGAGAAUGCAUAGCAUGAAAAAUGUGUUCAAGGGCACUGAAUCCCAAGAGGCCCUAUUCCAGCUUCUGUAAUUUCCAGCUUUUACAUGGAUCCUGAGGAUAAACAGAUCGAUAAGCAUCCUUGCUCCUGAAUGGUCCAAUUACUCUCAUCCUUCCCUCCCCAGGAUUGUGGCUCAGUCGGGUUGCCUGUGAUAUUUCCAGGUUGUCUAACUUUUCACUAUUAAAAGAACUCCGUCCUUUGAAAACCCUCA